RNAcentral lists this ribosomal RNA (225 nucleotides) under uncultured bacterium. Its description in RNAcentral is "partial 16S ribosomal RNA". It matches the Rfam family "Bacterial small subunit ribosomal RNA", at positions 116 to 334 of the family's 1533-position model. The record is from RNAcentral.
CGUGGGGAACCUGCCCCAUAGUCUGGGAUACCACUUGGAAACAGGUGCUAAUACCGGAUAAGAAAGCAGAUCGCAUGAUCAGCUUUUAAAAGGCGGCGUAAGCUGUCGCUAUGGGAUAGCCCCGCGGUGCAUUAGCUAGUUGGUAAGGUAAAGGCUUACCAAGGCGAUGAUGCAUAGCCGAGUUGAGAGACUGAUCGGCCACAUUGGGACUGAGACACGGCCCAA